Long non-coding RNA from Acinonyx jubatus (cheetah), 1326 nucleotides. RefSeq lists it as uncharacterized. The transcript has 3 exons. The record is from RefSeq and is a predicted model, not a curated record. Lineage: Eukaryota; Metazoa; Chordata; Mammalia; Carnivora; Felidae.
AGCCCACUGAUCCAGGAAUCUCCAGGAUGGAGACACGGGCUGGAUGGCCCUGGCUGGGGUCGGCAGGACAGGUCGAAAGCCAGCGGCCACCCUCAGGGGGCCCGUUCUCCGGGGUCCCCGGGGGAGCAGUGUCUGUUCAUAACAGCUGAGUCGGCUGCUUUAGGACCAAGGCUCAGGCGCUCCAGGCGGCUGACGGAGAGCUUUGUGCCCCUUCCAAAGGCGCCAGACGCACCCAACACUCCCACGGCCCGCCCGGCCUUCCGGCUCCUUGCCCAGAACCUCAGUCCAGCCUGCGGGGCCUGGAGGAGGAGGAAGCUGCCCGCUCACGUGGGAAGUCGCAUUUGGGGAUCAGAACGGGGGCUUCCCGGGAUGGAUGCUAGGACGUGGCAGAUAAUAGGGCUUGAAGAGACCCCAGGGCCACCACGGAGCCCCGCCCACCCCAGAAGAAGGUCCAGAGGAGCACAGAGCCCAGGCGCAGUGGGCAGGGAAGCUGGGCCCAUGGUCUCGGGGUUGGGGGGAAAGCAGGACUCAGUGGGGCAUGAAGGAACCACCAAGAGACCGUCAUUGCCACAGGAUUUGGGGCAGCUGAGGUCCACCUGCAGCGAGUGAGUGGGACCUGAGGGGUGAGUCUGGCAUGAUCAAGAUUAAGCAGGCUUGUUCCAGGAGGGGGAAAGGCCGUCCAUAACCAUGACGACACCUGCCCGCCGACCGCACCGGUCCCGUCGCGCUUCUAGCGUCUGGCUGCAGAGCCAAGGCGGGGCGGGGCGCCCAGUGGCAUCGGUCAGGACACCAGCGGGGUGCCCCGGGACACCGCUCCCCACGGCAGCACAGAUCCCGACUGGAGCAGCCUGUGCCAGCCCAGCGUGUGCAUGGGAAGCCCCAGGACAGCUCCACGGUCCUGCGCCCUAAGGACAGAGGAGAACAGAGCCUCGUGUGGGUUGCUGGGUCUGGACUGGGGACACUUCUGCUGGAAAGAGGGCCAAGGAGGAGGGCCAGACACGGACCUGACAGGUCAACAUGUGCACGUCCAGGACAAAGGGGGUUUUGGAACAAGUAACAUCUGGCGAACAGGUAACCUCCCACGCUAGGCGAAGACACGGCCGGUUCUGUCCAACUAAAUCAGGUGCUUGUUUGGGGGAUGGGAGAGGGCGGGCGAGGGACAGCUCACUGGAGCAAAGGUCCCCAUCCUGUACCAAUCAGUGCCACCCCUAGGCCUGGCACCGCUCCCUCAUGCAGCAGCCAGACCCUGCCCUGGCUGCAGGGCUGGGAUGGCUCAAGUAGGAGUGUCUGCUGGGACCUGCAGCUCAGGCCACGCCUCCCUGAGCC